Molecule: ribosomal RNA, 610 nt
Filed under: uncultured soil bacterium
Lineage: Bacteria
Description: bacterial SSU rRNA
Rfam family: Bacterial small subunit ribosomal RNA
Source: RNAcentral
AUGCAAGUCGAACGGCAGCACGGGGGCAACCCUGGUGGCGAGUGGCGAACGGGUGAGUAAUACAUCGGAACGUGUCCUGGAGUGGGGGAUAGCCCGGCGAAAGCCGGAUUAAUACCGCAUACGCUCUAAGGAGGAAAGGGGGGGAUCUUCGGACCUCUCGCUCAAGGGGCGGCCGAUGGCAGAUUAGCUAGUUGGUGGGGUAAAGGCCUACCAAGGCGACGAUCUGUAGCUGGUCUGAGAGGACGACCAGCCACACUGGGACUGAGACACGGCCCAGACUCCUACGGGAGGCAGCAGUGGGGAAUUUUGGACAAUGGGCGCAAGCCUGAUCCAGCAAUGCCGCGUGUGUGAAGAAGGCCUUCGGGUUGUAAAGCACUUUUGUCCGGAAAGAAAACCCUUGCCCGAAUACGGCGGGGGGAUGACGGUACCGGAAGAAUAAGCACCGGCUAACUACGUGCCAGCAGCCGCGGUAAUACGUAGGGUGCGAGCGUUAAUCGGAAUUACUGGGCGUAAAGCGUGCGCAGGCGGUUCGUUAAGACAGAUGUGAAAUCCCCGGGCUUAACCUGGGAACUGCAUUUGUGACUGGCGGGCUAGAGUAUGGCAGAGGGGG